GAGUAUCCUUCCCAAGUUGCGUGGAUGUGAAGAGACACGACAGUUCCCCUGAUGUACCAUGGGCGACCUACUUGUGAUGUGGACCUGAACCUCCACCAUGUAGCAGACAACCCCUCUCAGAUGAGAUGUAUUGCCCAAAACUCCCUUUUGUCCAAGUAACCCCGGCAUGUCCAAAGUGCAGCCUUCCGGCAUUUGCAAAACUGCACAUCUAAUCAUGCCCUGACACACCAAUGCUUAUGCUGUGUCAGGGAAUGUUUGUAUGUGUAGUUUCUCAAGUGCCGGAGGGUUGCAUUUGGGACAAAGGCCGCUGUAACCUGCUUGUGUCAAAGUGUUGCUUGUACCUUGUCUUUUCCUAUUACCAAUACCUGGAACCUCAUACUAUUCUCUUCCACAGGUCUUGCGGAGUAUCCUUCCCAAGUUGCGUGGACGUGAAGAGACGCGACAGUUCCCCUGAUGUACCAUGGGUGACCUACUUGUGAUGUGGACCUGAACCUCCGCCAUGUAGCAGACAACCCCUCUCAGGUCUUGCAGAGUAUCCUUCCCAAGUUGCGUGGAUGUGAAGAGACGCGACAGUUCCCCUGAUGUACCAUGGGCGACCUACUUGUGAUGUGGACCUGAACCUCCGCCAUGUAGCAGACAACCCCUCUCAGGUCUUGCGGAGUAUCCUUCCCAAGUUGCGUGGACGUGAAGAGACACGACAGUUCCCCUGAUGUACCAUGGGCGACCUACUUGUGAUGUGGACCUGAACCUCCGCCAUGUAGCAGACAACCCCCCUCAGGUCUUGCGGAGUAUCCUUCCUGAUUUGCAGGAAACAGCAUGGAUGAAAAGGGACACGACAGUUCCCCUGCUGUACCAUGGGCGACCUAACACAAUACCACUGCAUCUCUGAAAUACCAUAUUUUACAUUUUAUUUACUAAUAAUUUAAAGAAAACACACAAAACUUCUCAUUUAAAAAAAUUA
Molecule: long non-coding RNA, 961 nt
Organism: Pseudophryne corroboree (corroboree frog)
Lineage: Eukaryota; Metazoa; Chordata; Amphibia; Anura; Myobatrachidae
Exons: 4
Source: RefSeq, a predicted model, not a curated record